UACGUAGGGGGCAAGCGUUGUCCGGAAUUAUUGGGCGUAAAGAGCGUGUAGGCGGCCCGAUAAGUCCGCUGUGAAAUCUCGAGGCUCAACUUCGAGCUGUCGGUGGAAACUGUCUGGCUAGAGUCCGGAAGAGGAGAAUGGAAUUCCUGGUGUAGCGGUGAAAUGCGCAGAUAUCAGGAAGAACACCCGUGGCGAAGGCGGUUCUCUGGGACGGUACUGGCGCUGAGACGCGAAAGCGUGGGGAGCGAACAGG
Molecule: ribosomal RNA, 253 nt
Filed under: uncultured bacterium
Lineage: Bacteria
Description: partial 16S ribosomal RNA
Rfam family: Bacterial small subunit ribosomal RNA
Source: RNAcentral